This 73-nucleotide transfer RNA is filed under the name Streptomyces endocoffeicus. Its description in RNAcentral is "tRNA-Asn". It matches the Rfam family "tRNA". From Rfam's summary of the family: Transfer RNA (tRNA) molecules are approximately 80 nucleotides in length. Their secondary structure includes four short double-helical elements and three loops (D, anti-codon, and T loops). The record is from RNAcentral. Lineage: Bacteria; Bacillati; Actinomycetota; Actinomycetes; Kitasatosporales; Streptomycetaceae.
UCCGAUGUCGCCCAAUUGGCAGGGCGGACGGGUGUUAACCGUCCAGGCUCCGGUUCGAGUCCGGGCAUUGGAG